AUGCAGGCAAAAAUGGCCGUAUGUUGGACACCCCGACCGGUUUUACUCAUACCCUCCCCACCCGUGGAUCCGGCUUAGUUAUCCCUGCUCGAGUCCUACGUGUUAGUACGUCACACCUAGCAUCACCCCGGCUACUAGAGGUCCAAGAAGCAUUCCUAUGCCUCAUAUCCAAGCAGUGGCCGAAGUCACAUUUUAAUCAAUGCCGCAGCGACUCGAAUUUGGAACUGUGAGGAUAAAAAUUACGCCCAAUACCACUAGGCUACCACCUUGGUGGUAAGGGAAGCUUCUUGCUUCCACCACCUUCUUUUCAAAAAUAGAAAAACCACCUAUAAAAUCUAUAAAUAAUUCUUGGAGCUUGCUAUUGUGCUCCUGUAAAAUCCGUACAAUAUGUAUUUUUCUUUUUUUUUUUUGGUAUAACAGCCACUCCUAUGUGUCGAGCACGGGUAAGGCCGACACGAGUAAGGCCGACCGAAUCAAAAAAGAGUAAAUAACACAGGACGUGGGGCACUUCAGCCGUGUCAUCUCAUAUGAAACCUCCAGCAUAAUGGGCUAAAAAAGAUGCCAUCAAAUCAACCGCACUGUUCGCCUCUCUGUAGAUAUGUGUAG
RNAcentral lists this long non-coding RNA (606 nucleotides) under Phoenix dactylifera (date palm). RNAcentral's name for it is "long non-coding RNA (PDAC_LNC019661)". Lineage: Eukaryota; Viridiplantae; Streptophyta; Magnoliopsida; Arecales; Arecaceae. The record is from RNAcentral.